This is a long non-coding RNA of Salarias fasciatus (jewelled blenny), 1404 nucleotides long. RefSeq lists it as uncharacterized. Lineage: Eukaryota; Metazoa; Chordata; Actinopteri; Blenniiformes; Blenniidae. The transcript has 3 exons. The record is from RefSeq and is a predicted model, not a curated record.
AAAAAAUAAAAAGUAAAAAGUAAAUCUGCUCAUCUGAAGGAAAAGUUCAUGUUUAAAGCUGUUUAAUUUAACUUUAAUGUUUAAAAUGAGAGGUGAAUGUUAAUAUUGACAAUAAUGUUCAGUCUCAGUGUGUAAAGGUCUUCUGCUGGUUCUACUGGUGAAUGUUUUGCAUUCAGACUAAAACCAUGAACUGUUUCAAUCAAGGGACUACUGAGGAACCAGAACCUGGUCCAGAGGUGAUCUGCAGCCAGAUGUGGAUGGAGGGAGGUUUGCUUUUCCAUGCUUUAAUUAAUGCACGUAUAAAUUAUUCAUAUGAAUAUUGAGUUGGUAGAGUGUGAUUUUUUUAAUUUAUUUUUUUGUCCUCCUCAGAGACUUUGGGACUUCUGCAGGGUCGGCUGUGACAACAAACAACAAGCUAUAAAUAUAAGAGGUAUAAUCUGAAGACCUGAUCCAAGGUAGCAGUCUGGAGUCAUAAAGGCUCCUGGUGCUGCAGGUCUGAGUCUGAACCUCCACCCAGCAGAGGACCAGCCGGUGGAGACAGGACCAGCUGGUUCAUGUGGGAUCUGAGCAGGACCAGGGCCUCGUCGCAUCCCAGGAGGAAGAAUUCUGAUCUGGCUCCAUGAACAGACUCCAGCAGGACGGAGAAAUGCCUGAAGACCAGGACAGCAAAGCUCCAGGUUCCUCCUGCUCCGGUCUGGAUGUGGAUCACUGAGAUGAGGUUCAUCAGCUGAUCCACCACACUGAGGACGGUCCAGCAGAACCCUGCAGAACCAGACCGGAGCUCCUGACUCCAUCCAGGGGAUUUUUCCUGGAGCUGAAUCUGUAGAAUCUGUUCUCCCAGGAAACACUAAAGACUGGAGUCACAUGACCUCCUUAUCACUGACCUGUUCAUGUUGUUGUUGUUGUUGCUGGUAAAUAAAAGAAAGAACUGUAGAACUUUUAAAAACAUGUCAUUUUUUUAAACUUUCCUGAUGGUUCCACUUAUUUUAGCUUUUAUUCUUGAAGGUUCUGUUGAAGUUUAAUACAUUUUCUUUGAACUCCUGACUUUAUUUGUUAGACAUGUGUUUAGGAUUAAUAUCUCUCUUUGCAACACAUUGAUGUAUUUACUGAAGAGAGAACUGAAUGGUGAUAAUUAUGUGUUUAGCUAUAUAAUGUAUAUUAGACUCAUGUAAAUCCAUGCAUCAUGAAGACCGGAGCAGACGGAAUACAAAAGGCACACAGGUAUGACAGGCAGUAAAACAAUUGUAUUUGUGAAAUAAUUGUAUUUGUAGAAACGUCUGAUUGCCUGCUUUUCUUCUGAGAUUAGCUCCAAGUAGUUAAACACUAAUUGAAAAGCUGUUUAGGAGGGCAGGUGGGCUAGAAGUAAGAGUAACUCUGUAUUACACACAGCAUUUAUGUGACAGA